This is a long non-coding RNA of Galeopterus variegatus (Sunda flying lemur), 219 nucleotides long. RefSeq lists it as uncharacterized. The record is from RefSeq and is a predicted model, not a curated record. Lineage: Eukaryota; Metazoa; Chordata; Mammalia; Dermoptera; Cynocephalidae. The transcript has 2 exons.
AACGCAGCGCUACCUCCGACCGCGACCCGUCUUUGCCCCGGGAAGAAAGUUGGCCCGAGCGGAGCCAGGUGCCACCCGAGACGUGAGCGCCUUGGUGCGGUGAGUUACUUAAAAGGACAGCAGGAAAUCCUGGCCUCUGGGUUGCACUUUCUGGUUGAGCCUCUGAGAUCCCAAACAGCAUUUUAAAAAAAUGAUUCAGUAAAACAUAGAACACUGUCA